Molecule: transfer-messenger RNA, 363 nt
Filed under: Rhodothermales
Lineage: Bacteria; Pseudomonadati; Rhodothermota; Rhodothermia
Also listed under: 1 other name
Description: 1-14-0-65-60-17 sp002787815 Standard tmRNA
Rfam family: transfer-messenger RNA
About the family: Bacterial tmRNA, also known as 10Sa RNA or SsrA, is named for its dual tRNA and mRNA-like properties. Its role is to liberate the mRNA from a stalled ribosome.
Source: RNAcentral
GGGGAUGACACGGCUUCGACGGGUGGAUCGCGCAGAUGGCUGCGUGUCGAGCUUUUUGGUAUGCUCGUAAAUCUUGCCAAAAACACUGCAACUGCGAACGAUUACGCAUUUGCGAUGGCGGCUUAAGUCCGCUGUCUGUUCCUCGGGGUGUAGGCUCAUCGGCCCCCGCUGGAGCAACGAUUAGAUGAGAUAGUCUGCAGGAUGCUGGCCGAAUACCUGCAGGCGAAACCAUAUCAGUCUCAGCACAGUGUUGGCCCUGCCAGCCGGCAUGGCGCUGUGUGAAGUACAAUAGGCAGGCUACACACGUAGACGCCUACCUGUUUGACCAUUCGGACCCGGGUUCGACUCCCGGCAUCUCCACCA